CCUACGGGAGUCUGCAGUGAGGAAUAUUGGUCAAUGGGCGAGAGCCUGAACCAGCCAAGUCGCGUGAGGGACGACGGUCCUAUGGAUUGUAAACCUCUUUUGUCGGGGAACAAAGGCGCCCACGGGUGGGCGGCUGAGUGUACCCGAAGAAAAAGCAUCGGCUAACUCCGUGCCAGCAGCCGCGGUAAUACGGAGGGUGCAAGCGUUACUCGGAAUCAUUGGGCGUAAAGAGGGCGUAGGCGGGAUAGCAAGUCAGAUGUGAAAUCCUAUGGCUUAACCAUAGAACGGCAUUUGAAACGGGUUUUCUUGAGGAGGGGAGAGGUAGGUGGAAUUCGUGGUGUAGGGGUAAAAUCCGUAGAGAUCAAGAGGAAUACUCAUUGCGAAGGCGGCCUGCUAGCACAUAACUGACGCUGAUGCGCGAAAGCGUGGGGAGCGAACAGGAUUAGAUACCCCUGUAGUC
RNAcentral lists this ribosomal RNA (460 nucleotides) under uncultured bacterium. Its description in RNAcentral is "partial 16S ribosomal RNA". It matches the Rfam family "Bacterial small subunit ribosomal RNA", at positions 338 to 795 of the family's 1533-position model. The record is from RNAcentral.